UGAAACCGUGUGCUUACAAGUAGUCAGAGCCCGUUAAUGGGUGAUGGCGUGCCUUUUGUAGAAUGAACCGGCGAGUUACGAUUUGAUGCAAGGUUAAGCAGUAAAUGUGGAGCCGUAGCGAAAGCGAGUCUGAAUAGGGCGUUUAGUAUUUGGUCGUAGACCCGAAACCAGGUGAUCUACCCUUGGUCAGGUUGAAGUUCAGGUAACACUGAAUGGAGGACCGAACCGACUUACGUUGAAAAGUGAGCGGAUGAACUGAGGGUAGCGGAGAAAUUCCAAUCGAACCUGGAGAUAGCUGGUUCUCUCCGAAAUAGCUUUAGGGCUAGCCUCAAGUGAUGAUUAUUGGAGGUAGAGCACUGUUUGGACGAGGGGCCCCUCUCGGGUUACCGAAUUCAGACAAACUCCGAAUGCCAAUUAAUUUAACUUGGGAGUCAGAACAUGGGUGAUAAGGUCCGUGUUCGAAAGGGAAACAGCCCAGACCACCAGCUAAGGUCCCAAAAUAUAUGUUAAGUGGAAAAGGAUGUGGCGUUGCCCAGACAACUAGGAUGUUGGCUUAGAAGCAGCCAUCAUUUAAAGAGUGCGUAAUAGCUCACUAGUCGAGUGACACUGCGCCGAAAAUGUACCGGGGCUAAACAUAUUACCGAAGCUGUGGAUUGUCCUUUGGACAAUGGUAGGAGAGCGUUCUAAGGGCGUUGAAGCAUGAUCGUAAGGACAUGUGGAGCGCUUAGAAGUGAGAAUGCCGGUGUGAGUAGCGAAAGACGGGUGAGAAUCCCGUCCACCGAUUGACUAAGGUUUCCAGAGGAAGGCUCGUCCGCUCUGGGUUAGUCGGGUCCUAAGCUGAGGCCGACAGGCGUAGGCGAUGGAUAACAGGUUGAUAUUCCUGUACCACCUAUAAUCGUUUUAAUCGAUGGGGGGACGCAGUAGGAUAGGCGAAGCGUGCGAUUGGAUUGCACGUCUAAGCAGUAAGGCUGAGUAUUAGGCAAAUCCGGUACUCGUUAAGGCUGAGCUGUGAUGGGGAGAAGACAUUGUGUCUUCGAGUCGUUGAUUUCACACUGCCGAGAAAAGCCUCUAGAUAGAAAAUAGGUGCCCGUACCGCAAACCGACACAGGUAGUCAAGAUGAGAAUUCUAAGGUGAGCGAGCGAACUCUCGUUAAGGAACUCGGCAAAAUGACCCCGUAACUUCGGGAGAAGGGGUGCUCUUUAGGGUUAACGCCCAGAAGAGCCGCAGUGAAUAGGCCCAAGCGACUGUUUAUCAAAAACACAGGUCUCUGCUAAACCGUAAGGUGAUGUAUAGGGGCUGACGCCUGCCCGGUGCUGGAAGGUUAAGAGGAGUGGUUAGCUUCUGCGAAGCUACGAAUCGAAGCCCCAGUAAACGGCGGCCGUAACUAUAACGGUCCUAAGGUAGCGAAAUUCCUUGUCGGGUAAGUUCCGACCCGCACGAAAGGCGUAACGAUUUGGGCACUGUCUCAACGAGAGACUCGGUGAAAUCAUAGUACCUGUGAAGAUGCAGGUUACCCGCGACAGGACGGAAAGACCCCGUGGAGCUUUACUGUAGCCUGAUAUUGAAAUUCGGCACAGCUUGUACAGGAUAGGUAGGAGCCUUUGAAACGUGAGCGCUAGCUUACGUGGAGGCGCUGGUGGGAUACUACCCUAGCUGUGUUGGCUUUCUAACCCGCACCACUUAUCGUGGUGGGAGACAGUGUCAGGCGGGCAGUUUGACUGGGGCGGUCGCCUCCUAAAAGGUAACGGAGGCGCUCAAAGGUUCCCUCAGAAUGGUUGGAAAUCAUUCAUAGAGUGU
Molecule: ribosomal RNA, 1798 nt
Filed under: Staphylococcus aureus
Lineage: Bacteria; Bacillati; Bacillota; Bacilli; Caryophanales; Staphylococcaceae
Description: partial 23S ribosomal RNA
Rfam family: Bacterial large subunit ribosomal RNA
Source: RNAcentral